CAGUAGCCGCGGGAAUACGAAGGGGGCUAGCGUUGUUCGGAAUUACUGGGCGUAAAGCGCACGUAGGCGGAUAUUAAGUCAGGGGUGAAAUCCCAGAGCUCAACUCUGGAACUGCCUUUGAUACUGGGUAUCUUGAGUAUGGAAGAGGUGAGUGGAAUUCCGAGUGUAGAGGUGAAAUUCGUAGAUAUUCGGAGGAACACCAGUGGCGAAGGCGGCUCACUGGUCCAUUACUGACGCUGAGGUGCGAAAGCGUGGGGAGCAAACAGGAUUAGAUACCCCAGUAGUCCCUGUCUCUUAUACA
Molecule: ribosomal RNA, 301 nt
Filed under: uncultured bacterium
Lineage: Bacteria
Description: partial 16S ribosomal RNA
Rfam family: Bacterial small subunit ribosomal RNA
Source: RNAcentral